This 385-nucleotide unclassified non-coding RNA is filed under the name uncultured fungus. RNAcentral's name for it is "sequence contains ITS1". Lineage: Eukaryota; Fungi. The record is from RNAcentral.
GAGCCGUCGGUUGGCGUCGCUCUCGCGCACGUAACCGGUCGCCCGGAACUCGUUUUCGAGCAGCCAGGCCUCGACGUCGAAACCGUGCGGAUUGACCGUGCCGUGCGGGCGCUUGAGGCGCACGGUGAGACUCCAACGCUCGCCGCCGUGCAACUCCGGGACAUCCUGGCCCGCGCGCUCGCCGCGCCACGACGCGUACCAGCCCAGCGAGAGUCGCGACGGCACAAUCGCCGCCGGAGUCAGCACCCGCUCGACCGCCAGCGCGAACCGCGUGCCGCGCUCCCUGGGCUGGGGCAGCUCGUCGAUCACGCCGACGAUCUCGAUGUCGCGUCCUUCCCACGCGCGAGGCAGCUCAUCGGCGAGCCUGGCCUCCGCGCGCCAUGCC